UAAUAAGUGUUUUAUGGCACUUUUUAAAUCCAUAUCCACCUUGUGUGCAAUGUCAGUCGAUUCUUUUCGUCAAUGAAAAGGAUCGACCAAACAUCAACCUUAUUCUAAUUGAACUCUUUGUCUGAAAAAUAUUAUGAAUAAACUAAUUCAAAAUA
RNAcentral lists this unclassified non-coding RNA (155 nucleotides) under soil metagenome. RNAcentral describes it as "partial internal transcribed spacer 1". The record is from RNAcentral.